UGGCCAAGGCAGAGUUCAGA
RNAcentral lists this unclassified non-coding RNA (20 nucleotides) under Mus musculus (house mouse). Its description in RNAcentral is "oocyte_clustered_small_RNA8972". Lineage: Eukaryota; Metazoa; Chordata; Mammalia; Rodentia; Muridae. The record is from RNAcentral.